This 495-nucleotide ribosomal RNA is filed under the name uncultured bacterium. Its description in RNAcentral is "partial 16S ribosomal RNA". It matches the Rfam family "Bacterial small subunit ribosomal RNA", at positions 30 to 507 of the family's 1533-position model. The record is from RNAcentral.
UGAACGCUGGCGGCGUGCCUAAUACAUGCAAGUCGAGCGAACAGACGAGGAGCUUGCUCCUCUGACGUUAGCGGCGGACGGGUGAGUAACACGUGGAUAACCUACCUAUAAGACUGGGAUAACUUCGGGAAACCGGAGCUAAUACCGGAUAAUAUAUUGAACCGCAUGGUUCAAUAGUGAAAGACGGUUUUGCUGUCACUUAUAGAUGGAUCCGCGCCGCAUUAGCUAGUUGGUAAGGUAACGGCUUACCAAGGCAACGAUGCGUAGCCGACCUGAGAGGGUGAUCGGCCACACGGGAACUGAGACACGGUCCAGACUCCUACGGGAGGCAGCAGUAGGGAAUCUUCCGCAAUGGGCGAAAGCUUGACGGAGCAACGCCGCGUGAGUGAUGAAGGUCUUCGGAUCGUAAAACUCUGUUAUUAGGGAAGAACAAAUGUGUAAGUAACUAUGCACGUCUUGACGGUACCUAAUCAGAAAGCCACGGCUAACUACGUG